Molecule: long non-coding RNA, 1088 nt
Filed under: Cricetulus griseus (Chinese hamster)
Lineage: Eukaryota; Metazoa; Chordata; Mammalia; Rodentia; Cricetidae
Description: lncRNA (ENSCGRG00015037707.1)
Source: RNAcentral
CUCUGCCAGGAGGCCACCUCCCACUGGCUUGUAUGGUUCUGGGAAGAUCUCUGUUCUCAAUGGGAUUGAUAGAGGGAAAUUAGCAUCUCAAGGUUCACUGCACUCAAAAAGAGAUUAUACAGCCCGGCCAUGCAGAAGCUGAAGUGUGCCCAGCAUCGAUGGCAUAAGUAGCCAGUGAGGAGCUGAUGCUCCCUGACCCUGCAGAAUCUAGACUGAGACACCAUCUGGUUCCUCUUUUGCACAUCUGGCAAGGUAAUUAACAGAGUGGCCUUGGGAGAAGUAACUGCUGCAGUCCCUGAAGAAUGCCUGCAAACCAAACCUGGCUGCUAAGCCAGAGUCUGUCCACACUGUGCUAUGCUGGCCCAAGACUCUCAAGACUUAUGUCACCAGGCUGGUGCUAACCACGUGCUUAUUAACAUGGCAAUCAGUCAAAGUAAUCAAAUAAGUCACAGCGGUCAUGUACUUGGUAGCAAUGUUUUAAAUUAUGUGAAGCAGAAACCAAGAGACCUGAAACAAGAAACCAAUCACAGUUACAGUUAGAGACCACAUCUAUAAGGACAUAGGCCUGGGAAACAUCCUUUCAUAUUCUUUGUUGGGGGAAUCCAAGAGGCUCCCAAAACAACGUAAGCUAUUGUCCGGUGCCCUUGGCUGCCUCUCAGAACUGGAAACACUACACCGUUCAGACACAGGACUCGGAGGAAUCGAGCAGGAACUGACCUGGAAGCUUCCUCUCUGAGGACUGGCUCUUUUAGUAUCAGAAGGUGCUAUGAACGCUGCCAAGGGAGAAGAGCAUUCAAUAGUCUUACCCAACCAGAAAGCCUAUGGCCAACCUGGCUAAAUAUCCCUAAGGGUGCAACCGUGGCACUUACAUCUUGAGGGCCCCGACAAUGAUUCUGAGGCAAUGUUUUCAUUUAUCUCCAAGCAAAGAGGAGACUUUGGCAUUUGGUGUCUGAAGUGGAAUUUGAACACACUGCUAGCUCAGAAGAGCAGGGUCUUUCAACAAGACCAUGCUUACGACCACAGUGAAAAAUUAAAACGUCUAUUUUCACAAACCCACUCAGGACCCUAGUCACAUACCCAUAAAGAUG